CCUACGGGAGGCAGCAGUGAGGAAUAUUGGUCAAUGGACGAGAGUCUGAACCAGCCAAGUAGCGUGAAGGAUGACUGCCCUCUGGGUUGUAAACUUCUUUUAUAUGGGAAUAAAAUGUUCCACGUGUGGGAUUUUGUAUGUACCAUAUGAAUAAGGAUCGGCUAACUCCGUGCCAGCAGCCGCGGUAAUACGGAGGAUCCGAGCGUUAUCCGGCUUUAUUGGGUUUAAAGGGAGCGUAGGUGGAUUGUUAAGUCAGUUGUGAAAGUUUGCGGCUCAACCGUAAAAUUGCAGUUGAAACUGGCAGUCGUGAGUACAGUAGAGGUGGGCGGAAUUCGUGGUGUAGCGGUGAAAUGCUUAGAUAUCACGAAGAACUCUGAUUGCGAAGGCAGCUCACUGGACUGCAACUGACACUGAGGCUCGAAAGUGUGGGUAUCAAACAGGAUUAGAUACCCUUGUAGUC
This 460-nucleotide ribosomal RNA is filed under the name uncultured bacterium. Its description in RNAcentral is "partial 16S ribosomal RNA". It matches the Rfam family "Bacterial small subunit ribosomal RNA", at positions 338 to 795 of the family's 1533-position model. The record is from RNAcentral.